RNAcentral lists this ribosomal RNA (1749 nucleotides) under Oecleopsis sinicus. Its description in RNAcentral is "eukaryotic LSU rRNA". The stretch from base 198 to 1749 matches the Rfam family "Eukaryotic large subunit ribosomal RNA", at positions 1 to 2649 of the family's 3401-position model. The record is from RNAcentral. Lineage: Eukaryota; Metazoa; Arthropoda; Insecta; Hemiptera; Cixiidae.
UGCAAACUAUUGCUAGGAGAAAUCCGAUGUUGAUGGUCUGGCUGUCGACUUCUAUUCUCAACACUUGGAAAACGCUUCAGGCUUCCGGGCCGUAAAAGCGUAGGUUCUUUCUCGUGCCAAGCACUCUAUAGUUUAAAAUCGUUAUUCUGCGCGCCUUGCCGGCGUGCUGGUACCGUUCAGUGGACCAGCCUUUGGAGUACAAUCUAUUUAGGGGGGAUUUUCUCUGAUGGGUUUUCUGGCAAACUAUUGUCUGUACGGACAUGGACAACUUUUAUUUUUCACACUUGGGGGGGAUUUGUUUCACAUGUCAAAAAAGUCCGGGUUCUGACAUAUUGCCUUGCUAGCCAUGCACAAAGCGUUGGCACUAGCCUUGGGGCUUUUGGCCAAGAAAAAACAUUGGGUUAUCCUUUACCCCGUUAAAGGGCGAAAGGAAAUCCGGUCAACAUUCCGAAACCCGGUUGCGUAAACCGCUCUCUGUUGGCAUUAGCCGGCGAGCGCUUUGUUGGGGUAACCCAAGUUGUCCCGAAAACUCUGGCGGGGGGUCUGGGAAGAGUUUUCUUUUCUUUUUAACCGUUCGUGAACCCUGGAAUUCUAUAGCAAAGAGAUAGGGUUGGAAACGCGAAAACUAUGGCAGGUUGCGGGCGGUUGACCGGACUUCCCCCCCAGACCGUUGAAAAAUCUGGUUAGGAGGACGCGGUGGUCGCGCCGGUUCGUUUCCCAUAUCCGCAUCUUGUCUCCAAGGUUCAAAGCCUCUUGUCGAUAGAAUAUGGUAGUUAAGGAAGUCGGCAAAUUGGAUCCGUAACUUCGGGACAAAGAUUGGCUCUGAGGAUCGGGGCGUGUCGGGCUGGUCGGGAAGUGGGUCAGUGCCAACGUGCCGGGCCUGGGCGAGGGUUUGUUGUGGUUUCCUUGUGUCUCCCACAAUCCGAACUCGGUCCCGUGCCACUUGGCCUCCCGCGGAUCUUCCUUGCUGCGGGUUUUCGACCAAGCAGACCUGACUGGGCCGCUUCAGGCCCGUCUGGAAGGCUUCGAAUCAAUCCCUUCGGCCGCCAUUCAACGGUCAACUCAGAACUGGCACGGACAAGGAGAAUCCGACUGCCUAAUUAAAGCAAAGCAUUGCGAGGGCUCUAGCCGAGUGUUUACGCAAUGUGAUUUCUGCCCAGUGCUCUGAAUGUCAACGUGUAGAAAUUCAAGCAAGCGCGGGUAAACGGCGGGAGUAACUAUGACUCUCUUAAGGUAGCCAAAUGCCUCGUCAUCCAAUUAGUGACGCGCAUGAAUGGAUUAACGAGAUUCUCACUGUCCCUAUCUACUAUCUAGCGAAACCACAGCCAAGGGAACGGGCUUGGAAACAUUAGCGGGGAAAGAAGACCCUGUUGAGCUUGACUCUAGUCUGGCACUGUAAGGAGACAUGAGAGGUGUAGCAUAAGUGGGAGAAGGUGGGCUCUAAUGCCUGUCCGUCGACGGUGAAAUACCACUACUUUCAUCGUUUCUUUACUUACUCGGAUAGGCGGAGAGCGUGUUCGUCGAGGGCUCAGCCCACGCGGACCGGUAUUCUCGCGCCAAGCGUCCGGGUUGCCGGCAAGCGCCCGUCAGUGCUUGGGUUUGUGCGUGUCUUUCGACUAGUCCCCGCAAGGUGGCUUUUCAUAGACCCACAUCUCUUGCCUCGACUGGGCGCCGUCGACCGGCAAACACUCCCACGCGUGAUCCGAUUCGAGGACACAGCCAGGCGGAGAGAUGACCUCCUCAAACCCC